CUCUCAUCAAUUCAAAUGAAAGAACCUCAAACAGAAAACCUUAUUGCCAAAAUAUGAAUAGUAGAGUUAGUGGAUUGUUUACGAUUAACCUACUACUUAGGGCUUGAAACAUGCAUGUGAGACCAGGGAUUUAAUUGUUCAUCCAAAUUUAUCCACAAAUCGAACCGUAGCACCAUUCUGAUUUUAUUCUUUAUUUUCAACACCUAGUAAAUAGGACAAACUUGAAUGCAGAAGACCGUAUUGCACAAAUUACUCAUGAACCUCCAAUGUAUAAACUAGACAACUGGAUUACCUAAUUUAAUCAUUUAUGACCCUCACAUUCAAUAACAUGCUCAUGUAGUAUUCCAACAAUUUAAUGAUUAAACACAACACAACUACUGGUAUCAAUUAGAAUAUUCAACCUACAGUGAACACAACUACAACUAGUGUUUAACUAGUAAUACUUAUAUCAAUAUGAGAAAAACAGUAACUCGAAUAGUCCAAAUAUACUUCAAUCAUACAAAUGACACUGAAUAAACAUAUUGCUUUAUAUUUUUAACUAAGGCAAAACACGAAAAAUCAAGAAUCAUCCCAAUAGUAGUUCACUUCAUAUCCACAAGCUUGAAGAUUACGAAUAUGCACCUGGAUGUUGAAAUAUCAGAAGAAGAAAGAGUCAACAGCAGUAAGACGCAGGAACCAAAUACAGCCCAGAAAUGAGUUCAAUAACCCAGAAUGCAGUUCAGGAAGAGUUUGAGAUCAAAACAGAAUUAGGAAGUCCACUCGAAAUUGGACUAGAAAUUUACAGCAACAACUCGAAUAAAUCCCAAACACUUUCAAAUGCUUUAAACCUUCGAGUACAGAACAAAAUCAAAGAAAUCCGAGCUAUUCUGAUCCCAAAUGAGCUAACCAGUGGAAUUAAAAGCUGAAAUUUGAAAAUAGCCUAAGGAAAAAGCACUAAAAUAGUAUUUUUGAGAUUUUCUACUAUAUUUGCCUUUGUUUUUUUUAGUUUUCAGUAGAAAUAUAAGAUCUAAAGAGAAAUAUUUAACUUCUGAUCAUUUCAAAUUCAAAACUAAGAACUCAGAUUUGUAGGGGAGGUUUUGGGGGAAUUUUUGGGGCUCCAAACUCAUUCAACAAGGCAUUUGUGAUGCCUUUUAUAGGCAACAAUCAGGUUUUCAGUUGUUCUUUAGUACCUCUUCAUUUUCUCUUGUUGUCCCUCAUUUUUAAAUACCCUGAGUUUUCUGAAAUAUUCACUAAGGUCCUAUUCUAGAAGGGUCUAAAGUAUUCUAGUGUGAUCUAUCAUGUCUUACCCAAUACCAAAUAUCUAAACUACCCUUUAAUACUUCUAAAAUUACUUAACCCAAACCCCUACCUAUGUUUAUCUAGUUAACAAACCAACCACACAUCAAGGUGAUCAAUUGCUGAUGAAUUAAACCAUCUUAAUCAAAGACUUGAAACCAAAUUAAUUACAAACUAAAAUUAAUCACACUUAACAGCCAUAUAACAUUAAAACGAUUAUUAACCAAACAGAAUUACAAUCGAGAUUAAGAAUCAUUACUCAAAUAGCCAAAUAGAAACAAAUAUAACAAUUAACCAAUCAAUCCCCUAAACUAACACGAAUCAAGCAGACAAGGAUAAAAAAAUGAAACAGAAAUAUAGAAGAGUCAUUGAUUUCGGGCUGACAAUUAUUACCAAACAAAGUUAAAAAGCUACCUAGUCAUGGAAGGUCAGAACAUCAAGGAAAAAAAAUAAAAGAAACUAAGCUUCGAAAACUCACUGACUCACUUCGAGACUCCGGUCAAAGUUUCAAAUUCGAACACGACCAACUCCGACAGAAAUGAAGCUUGAUUCAUGACCGAUUCACUACGAGGAAGGUUAGAGGGUAAUUUGGUAUCAAAUUGGUGAAGUUUGGGGCAAUUAGGGUUUUAGCCAGAAAAUUGAAAUAGAUAUUCGAGCCAUUCUUGUCAGAUUCGAGACAAGAUGGUCAUAUAUUUGGGUUGAGGAAAGUUAGGAGAGUCAAUGGUGUAAUUUUGGAGCGAUUUGGAAUAGUUGACGUCGUGGCCGGAAAAUCUUCCGACGAAAAUUCGAGGAUUUAUGGUUAGGUUCGAGGGAAAUAAAAGGCGGGAAUGGGAAGAGGAUGAUCUGGGGAGUUCGUGGUAUGAAUUUGAGGCGGAUUGGUAUAGGUUUCGUCCGCCGGCGGCUUCCGCCGAGGUGCAAAACAGUACGAGGAAGAUGAAGGGCUGGUCUCUGAGGCUAUGCGUAUAUUCGGACAAUUAUAUCACAAUAACACCAACC
RNAcentral lists this long non-coding RNA (2271 nucleotides) under Nicotiana benthamiana. RNAcentral's name for it is "long non-coding RNA (NBEN_LNC040083)". Lineage: Eukaryota; Viridiplantae; Streptophyta; Magnoliopsida; Solanales; Solanaceae. The record is from RNAcentral.